AGGCGGCCAUUUAAGUCAAAUGUGAAAUCCCCGAGCUUAACUUGGGAAUCGCAUUCGAUACUGGAUGGCUAGAGUAUGGGAGAGGAUGGUAGAAUUCCAGGUGUAGCGGUGAAAUGCGUAGAGAUCUGGAGGAAUACCGAUGGCGAAGGCGGCCAUCUGGCCUAAUACUGACGCUGAGGUACGAAAGCAUGGGGAGCAAACAGGAUUAGAUACCCUGGUAGUCCAUGCCGUAAACGAUGUCUACUAGCCGUUGGGGCCUUUGAGGCUUUAGUGGCGCAGCUAACGCGAUAAGUAGACCGCCUGGGGAGUACGGUCGCAAGACUAAAACUCAAAUGAAUUGACGGGGGCCCGCACAAGCGGUGGAGCAUGUGGUUUAAUUCGAUGCAACGCGAAGAACCUUACCUGGCCUUGACAUACUAGAAACUUUCCAGAGAUGGAUUGGUGCCUUCGGGAAUCUAGAUACAGGUGCUGCAUGGCUGUCGUCAGCUCGUGUCGUGAGAUGUUGGGUUAAGUCCCGCAACGAGCGCAACCCUUUUCCUUACUUGCCAGCAUUUCGGAUGGGAACUUUAAGGAUGCUGCCAGUGACAAACUGGAGGAAGGCGGGGACGACGUCAAGUCAUCAUGGCCCUUACGGCCAGGGCUACACACGUGCUACAAUGGUCGGUACAAAGGGUUGCUACCUAGCGAUAGGAUGCUAAUCUCAAAAAGCCGAUCGUAGUCCGGAUUGGAGUCUGCAACUCGACUCCAUGAAGUCGGAAU
RNAcentral lists this ribosomal RNA (759 nucleotides) under uncultured bacterium. RNAcentral describes it as "bacterial SSU rRNA". It matches the Rfam family "Bacterial small subunit ribosomal RNA", at positions 573 to 1332 of the family's 1533-position model. The record is from RNAcentral.